RNAcentral lists this non-coding RNA (25 nucleotides) under Cricetulus griseus (Chinese hamster). Lineage: Eukaryota; Metazoa; Chordata; Mammalia; Rodentia; Cricetidae. The record is from RNAcentral.
GUUAGCUGUAACACUGGGGUGUUAG